GAGUUUGAUCCUGGCUCAGAGCGAACGCUGGCGGCAGGCUUAACACAUGCAAGUCGAGCGGGCGUAGCAAUACGUCAGCGGCAGACGGGUGAGUAACGCGUGGGAACGUACCUUUUGGUUCGGAACAACACAGGGAAACUUGUGCUAAUACCGGAUAAGCCCUUACGGGGAAAGAUUUAUCGCCGAAAGAUCGGCCCGCGUCUGAUUAGCUAGUUGGUAGGGUAAUGGCCUACCAAGGCGACGAUCAGUAGCUGGUCUGAGAGGAUGAUCAGCCACAUUGGGACUGAGACACGGCCCAGACUCCUACGGGAGGCAGCAGUGGGGAAUUUUGGACAAUGGGCGCAAGCCUGAUCCAGCCAUGCCGCGUGAGUGAAGAAGGCCUUCGGGUUGUAAAGCUCUUUCAGCCGGAAAGAAAUCAUGCUUACUAAUACUAAGUGUGGAUGACGGUACCGGAAGAAGAAGCACCGGCUAACUACGUGCCAGCAGCCGCGGUAAUACGUAGGGUGCGAGCGUUAAUCGGAAUUACUGGGCGUAAAGCGUGCGCAGGCGGUUUUUUAAGACAGAUGUGAAAUCCCCGGGCUUAACCUGGGAACUGCAUUUGUGACUGGAAGGCUAGAGUACGGCAGAGGGGGGUAGAAUUCCACGUGUAGCAGUGAAAUGCGUAGAUAUGUGGAGGAAUACCGAUGGCGAAGGCAGCCCCCUGGGUCGAUACUGACGCUCAUGCACGAAAGCGUGGGGAGCAAACAGGAUUAGAUACCCUGGUAGUCCACGCCCUAAACGAUGUCAACUAGGUGUUGGGGAAGGAGACUUCUUUAGUACCGCAGCUAACGCGUGAAGUUGACCGCCUGGGGAGUACGGUCGCAAGAUUAAAACUCAAAGGAAUUGACGGGGACCCGCACAAGCGGUGGAUUAUGUGGAUUAAUUCGAUGCAACGCGAAAAACCUUACCUACCCUUGACAUGCCAGGAAGAUUUCAGAGAUGAGAUUGUGCCCGAAAGGGAACCUGGACACAGGUGCUGCAUGGCUGUCGUCAGCUCGUGUCGUGAGAUGUUGGGUUAAGUCCCGCAACGAGCGCAACCCUUGUCAUUAAUUGCCAUCAUUCAGUUGGGCACUUUAAUGAGACUGCCGGUGAUAAACCGGAGGAAGGUGGGGAUGACGUCAAGUCCUCAUGGCCCUUAUGGGUAGGGCUUCACACGUAAUACAAUGGUCGGUACAGAGGGUUGCCAACCCGCGAGGGGGAGCCAAUCCCAGAAAGCCGAUCGUAGUCCGGAUUGUAGUCUGCAACUCGACUACAUGAAGUCGGAAUCGCUAGUAAUCGCGGAUCAGCAUGUCGCGGUGAAUACGUUCCCGGGUCUUGUACACACCGCCCGUCACACCAUGGGAGUGGAAUCUGGCAGAAGUAGGUAGCCUAACCGCAAGGGGGGCGCUUACCACGCUGGGUUUCAUGACUGGGGUGAAGUCGUAACAAGGUAACCGUA
RNAcentral lists this ribosomal RNA (1477 nucleotides) under uncultured bacterium. RNAcentral's name for it is "bacterial SSU rRNA". It matches the Rfam family "Bacterial small subunit ribosomal RNA". The record is from RNAcentral.